UCAGCCGCGUAGGAUAGGAUACAGAAAUACAGCAGAGAAAAUAUCGGUUUACCAGCCACUUGCAGAAAUUCUUAAAGUUACAUAAAGAGACGAUUGUUACGACAAGUCAGAGAUGGCGGACCCGCUUCGAAUCAUCUACGGAUUGCUAUUGUUCAUGUAUCUAAAAAUGGAUCCAGAACACAAAGACUAAGUCUAUGAGGAAAAUAAAGUUUUAGAUCAACAACUAAAAAUUGUCAAGAACAGAUAAAAUAUGAGAUAGAGAUAGAACUGGUAUGAAAGGUGACAGUAGAACAUUGAAAUAAUUUGAAAGAAACAAGUUGGCAAAGAUAUAUAUCACAUGCAUAGGAAGAGCAAUGGAAAAUAACAUUGAAGCAGAAUUAUGAAACAGUUAUUUUAAAAAAACAUUAAAUUGAGAGAGAGAAAAACACAUUUUUUUACUUUUUAAUGCUGUUCAUUCUUAAGAUUACUGUUUAUUGUAUUUCGAUGGAAGUUAUUGCAGUUGAUGAGAAGAUAGAACAAAAAUUUGAGUUCUUCAGCUUGUUUUAUGCAGUCAAUAAAAAUUAAUUUUGAAAAGCAAACCAUAUAUGUUCAAAAAUC
This is a long non-coding RNA of Mytilus trossulus (common blue mussel), 597 nucleotides long. RefSeq lists it as uncharacterized. The transcript has 3 exons. Lineage: Eukaryota; Metazoa; Mollusca; Bivalvia; Mytilida; Mytilidae. The record is from RefSeq and is a predicted model, not a curated record.